RNAcentral lists this microRNA (20 nucleotides) under Mus musculus (house mouse). Its description in RNAcentral is "mmu-miR-3473f". The record is from miRBase by way of RNAcentral. Lineage: Eukaryota; Metazoa; Chordata; Mammalia; Rodentia; Muridae.
CAAAUAGGACUGGAGAGAUG